Molecule: long non-coding RNA, 1575 nt
Organism: Cucumis sativus (cucumber)
Lineage: Eukaryota; Viridiplantae; Streptophyta; Magnoliopsida; Cucurbitales; Cucurbitaceae
Exons: 2
Source: RefSeq, a predicted model, not a curated record
AUGAACUUUCAUAGUACAUCGAGGCUUACUUGAGUUAGUAUGAUAAUCCCCAACCAACUCCUAACAAAGAAGAAUAUUAUCAAUAAUACUCCUCCCAGGAAUAAAGGCAGACUGCUUAUCACUAACAAAAGAAGGAAGCCACACAUGAAGCUUAUCAACCAAAAUCUUAGAAAUAUAUUUGUAAAUCACAAUACAACAAGAAAUAGGCAUGAAUUCUUCUAUACAUUAAGCCCCACAUCGUUUCGGAAUGCGAGUAAUAACAUUAGUAUUCACUCCAUAUGGAAGAUACUAGGAGUGGAGUGGGCUACUCCUUGUUUGGGGCUCAAACUAACAAAAAAAUGGGGAUUAGUCCUAAUCCCCCUUACUCAUUCUCAAUCCUUCUCAACUCUCCCAUUACACGUCUCUUACUCCCUCAUUUAUCUGUCGUAAUCCCUUCUGAAAACCCCCUUCAUCCUUUCUGAACUUCAUCCAUUUUCAUUCAUCUUUUUCCUCUUUCUUUGUUUCUCUGUUGGUUUUCUUCUCCAAAUCUCAAUCAUGUAUUGAUUUCCUUUGUUUUCCUCUUCCAAUUUACACUAUCUCCUAUGUUUUCCCUCUUUUCGUCUUCCUCUCCCAACCUCAGAUAUGUCCUCACAUCCUCCAACCCCAUUUCAUUUUUAUCUCUAAAACUCUUGUCUCUGUCGUGACGCAUCCUGUUGUCUUUUCUUCGAAUCUCAGAUCUCAAUCAUUUUCAUUGAUGGUUGUGUUUCCAUGUGUUGCCUUUGAAACACUUCUCCUUCCACUCUCUGGUUUCGUUGACUGGCUUCGUUUUCAUGUGUUGCCUCUGAAACUGUUCUCUUUCCCUAGUUCAUUGCAUGGCUAGGCUUACUGUCACUCUGAUUUCCACUUUGUCACUUGUACAUGUGUACGGAAACAACCUUUAAGGGACAAAUGCUACACUGAAAUGGCCUUCAAAGGGCAAAUGCUAUAAGUGAGUAUGGUAAAGGCAUCGACAGAGCACUAGGGGUCGCCGAUUUUUCUCGGAUUUGUACACAUUUCCUAAAAGUCGAUGAUGAGAAUAUGAAAGAAGACUUUGUUAUGAACUCAAUGCAAUGAAAAACAUUUAAAAUGGAGUCCAAAUGAAGAAGAACGAGUAAUUUGAAGAUCAAGUCCCUACAAGAAAUAAGGUUUUUCCUAGCGCAGCAAUACGUUGCCGAAAACCCUAAGCAACGUUGGGGAAGGUUAUUGCGAUGUCAUGGACAAUGUCGGCAGGCACGUCGGAGAAAGGGCAUCAGGGAUACGUUUCCCAAUGCGGACCACGUCAAUGAUGGCGAAAAUUUCCACGACACACGUUGCAGUACGUCGCAAACAACUUUCGCGACGUGGCAUCGGAAAAGGCUUUAAAUAUUUAUUUUGUCAUUGUUUUAGUUAAUUUAACUAAGCUACAACGUAGUAAAAUUUGCUGUAAAAUGAUGAAAAUGAAAAUAUUUUCAUUCAUUACAAAACAAUAUAUAUGAAAUAUGUUCAACACAAAAAAACAAUUACAUAAUUCAAAAGAAAUACAUUAAUAAAAAAACACACCCGAAAGUUAAUGCUCUA